Molecule: ribosomal RNA, 228 nt
Filed under: uncultured bacterium
Lineage: Bacteria
Description: partial 16S ribosomal RNA
Rfam family: Bacterial small subunit ribosomal RNA
Source: RNAcentral
UGAGCAAUCUGCCCUUCUCAUCGGAAUAAGCGUUGGAAACGACGUCUAAUGCCGAAUACGACCUCAUUUCGCAUGAUCGGAGGUGGAAAGCUCCGGCGGAGAAGGAUGAGCUCGCGGCCUAUCAGCUAGUUGGUGUGGGUAAUGGCCCACCAAGGCGACGACGGGUAGCCGGCCUGAGAGGAUGACCGGCCACACUGGGACUGAGACACGGCCCAGACCUCUACGGGA